Cinara cedri is the source of this 357-nucleotide non-coding RNA. The record is from the annotation of a GenBank genome assembly. Lineage: Eukaryota; Metazoa; Arthropoda; Insecta; Hemiptera; Aphididae.
UAGAGAACCAACAGGGGAAUUUAGAUUUGCAGUAUCUCUUUUUAGGAAUAAAAGUGUAAAUUGCAUAGAAUAGGAGGGAAUAAAAUUCUUUGGUGAUGGUUGUAAUAUCAUUACUAAUAUUGAAAAAUUCGUUCCAGUUUAUUGAACCAAGGAAAGAUAAAAUAUUAAUAUAAUCUCCCUUAUACCAGUCAUAGGUUUCUUCAGAAAAAAAUUGCGGAGAGAGAGUGUCGAACUGAGAGUAGCUGACAUUAAUAGGAGGGUGAUAAUUAUCUACUGGAACUAUAGAGAACUAAUGAGAAUUAGAAUUGGAUAAUAUAAGAUCCAGUAUUGAACCAUAACUAUUGAAGAUUGUAUUUA